UACAGAGGUCUCAAGCGUUGUUCGGAUUCAUUGGGCGUAAAGGGCGCGUAGGCGGCGGGGUCAGUCGGGUGUGAAAUCUUGGGGCUUAACCCCGAAACGGCACUCGAAACUGCCCGGCUGGAGGGCCGGAGAGGAGAUCGGAAUUCACGGUGUAGCAGUGAAAUGCGUAGAGAUCGUGAGGAAGACCAGUGGCGAAGGCGGGUCUCUGGACAGUUCCUGACACUGAGGCACGAAGGCUAGGGGAGCAAACGGG
This 253-nucleotide ribosomal RNA is filed under the name uncultured bacterium. Its description in RNAcentral is "partial 16S ribosomal RNA". It matches the Rfam family "Bacterial small subunit ribosomal RNA", at positions 524 to 776 of the family's 1533-position model. The record is from RNAcentral.